RNAcentral lists this small RNA (107 nucleotides) under Marmota monax (woodchuck). Lineage: Eukaryota; Metazoa; Chordata; Mammalia; Rodentia; Sciuridae. The record is from RNAcentral.
GCUGGGCAUGAUAGCACAUGCCUGUAAUCCCAGGUACUCAGGAGUCUGAGGCAGGAGAAUCCCCAGUUCAAGGUCAGCUCAGGUGACUUAGUGAAACCCUGUCUCAA